RNAcentral lists this ribosomal RNA (301 nucleotides) under uncultured bacterium. Its description in RNAcentral is "partial 16S ribosomal RNA". It matches the Rfam family "Bacterial small subunit ribosomal RNA", at positions 509 to 809 of the family's 1533-position model. The record is from RNAcentral.
CAGUAGCCGCGGUAAUACGUAGGUGGCAAGCGUUGUCCGGAAUUAUUGGGCGUAAAGGGCUCGCAGGCGGUUUCUUAAGUCUGGUGUGAAAGCCCCCGGCUCAACCGGGGAGGGUCAUUGGAAACUGGGAAACUUGAGUGCAGAAGAGGAGAGUGGAAUUCCACGUGUAGCGGUGAAAUGCGUAGAGAUGUGGAGGAACACCAGUGGCGAAGGCGACUCUCUGGUCUGUAACUGACGCUGAGGAGCGAAAGCGUGGGGAGCGAACAGGAUUAGAGACCCGAGUAGUCCCUGUCUCUUAUAA